AGAAAUCCCAGUGCGCCCUGGAGGAGUACGUGAGGAGCCAGUACCCGAACCAGCCCAGCCGCUUUGGGAAGCUCCUGCUGCGGCUGCCCUCUCUGCGCACCGUCUCCUCGUCGGUAAUCGAGCAGCUGUUCUUCGUCCGCUUGCAGCAGCAGCAGCAGCAAACUGACCUCCAGGACAUUUUUACUGAGAGGACCGUCUGGGGCGCCUGUCCCCCGGGCCACGAAUGCGCGUGGAGUCGAUCAUCAGUCAAAGAGGAGAGACAUGAAAAUCAAAAGCACUUUUAAUAUAUCAUUUCAAAAUACAUUUUGUUUGUUUCGUCUUGGAAGAAAUUUUCAUUGUUUCUUGAAUUUUAUUGGUUGUUGCCUUCAAUUUGCUUACUCCAUGAUGCAGCUUUUUGCAGAAGGGUCGGUUGAUGAAGUUGUGUGAUGGUGACUGUACUAUUAAAAAAAGAAAUAGGCAA
Non-coding RNA from Paralichthys olivaceus (Japanese flounder), 460 nucleotides. The record is from RefSeq and is a predicted model, not a curated record. NCBI's taxonomy places the organism in Eukaryota, Metazoa, Chordata, Actinopteri, Pleuronectiformes, Paralichthyidae.